UACGUAGGGGGCAAGCGUUAUCCGGAAUUAUUGGGCGUAAAGAGUACGUAGGUGGUUACCUAAGCACGGGGUAUAAGGCAAUGGCUCAACCAUUGUUUGCCUUGUGAACUGGGCUACUUGAGUGCAGGAGAGGAAAGCGGAAUUCCUAGUGUAGCGGUGAAAUGCGUAGAUAUUAGGAGGAACACCAGUGGCGAAGGCGGCUUUCUGGACUGUAACUGACACUGAGGUACGAAAGCGUGGGGAGCAAACAGG
Molecule: ribosomal RNA, 252 nt
Filed under: Ihubacter massiliensis
Lineage: Bacteria; Bacillati; Bacillota; Clostridia; Peptostreptococcales; Anaerovoracaceae
Description: partial 16S ribosomal RNA
Rfam family: Bacterial small subunit ribosomal RNA
Source: RNAcentral